This 119-nucleotide ribosomal RNA is filed under the name Pteropus alecto (black flying fox). Lineage: Eukaryota; Metazoa; Chordata; Mammalia; Chiroptera; Pteropodidae. The record is from RNAcentral.
GUCUAUGGCCAUGCUACCCUGUAAAAGCCUGAUCCUGUCUGAUCUCGGAAGCUAAGCAGGGUCAGGCCUGGUUAUUAUUUGGAUGGGAGACCACCUAGGAAAACCAGGUGCUGUAGGUG